AUGCCGUACCAUGAUGAGGAGCACCCCGGCCAGCCGCUGUGGCAGUCCGUGCUGAUGUUCUGCUGCAAGGGCAUGAUCGAAGGCAUCAUGGUCAUCCUCUUCUUCUGGCUCCUGGUGCAGGUCCUGUUCACCAAACAAUUAGAAGUCCAGCUCCAGAUCCUCCUCUUGUCGGGCCUGAUAGUCUUCUGCCUGUGUCUGGUGCUGGGCUGUGCCCUCUGCUGGCGGAGCACCCGGACCCCGUCGUCCGAUCCCAAAGAGCGCGGGACGACGGUCGCCCCGGCCCCCGAGGAGCCCGUCGCCCGUCCCCAGGACCCGCCCCCGCCGGCUCCCUCAGCCGCCGCCGCGGGGCCGCCGUACGACGAGCUGGACGGCGACAUUCUGGAAUACCCCUCCACCUCCUGCUGCUCCACGCCUUCGGAGGACGUGUUCGCCUCCCUGACCUCGUCGCCCUGCGCCCGCUCGUCUCCCCGCGGCACGCCGCUGUGUCCGUCGGCUCGGCCCGCCGAGCGCGGCCGCGCCUCCCUGCCUUCCUUCCCCAGGCUGGGGCUGUGGUCCAAGACGCGUCGGAUCCUGGAGCGCCGCUGCACGGUGACGGGGGACCAGGUCUCGUACAGCGAGCGCCUGCGGCUCACCGGCCCCGGGGGGGCCUCCCCGCCCACGGCGGAGGAGCCCAUCCCCCUGGCGCCGCUGUACUACGGCUCCGGACGUGCCGCCACGCCCGCCGCCGGCGCCAGCGCCAGCCCCUGGAUCCACUUCACCGUGGCCUUCUCCCCGGAGCAGCGCGCGCUGACCGUCACCAUCCACAGCCUUACGGGAACCAGCUACCGCCUGGAGGACGUGUGGGCCGAGGGCAGCCUGUGCCCCGGGACUGGGAAGGCCUCUGGGCAUAAUGGCGGCCUGGACUCCCAGCCCCAGAGUCUGGUGCUGGUGCUGACUGUGAGCUCUGUGGAGGAGCUCCGACGCGGCACGCUCAGACUGUCUCUGCACACGCAGCAUCGCCCCCCCCGGCCCGAGGGCUCCCUUCUGGGGGAGCUGGAGGUCCAGUGUGCAGACAAAGACUGGACAGCGGAUCGUCCGAUCCACUUCACUAAAGAACUCAGUGGCACCAAGUGUGCACGGAAAAUGAGUGUGAACUCCGUGGAAGCGCCGCCGUUGAGCAAGCCGGGGCUUAGUUGCUCGCCGCAGAUCUUAGCUCAACUCUUCAUUCUGCUUCAGUAUCAGACCCUUGCCCAUCGCGUCAAAGCCAUGGUCCUUAAAGUAGCCCAGCAAGACAGCCUCUCCCACUGGCCUGCUGCUCCAGGCUACCAGAUGGUGAUGAACUUGCACCAUGAAGGCACGUUGAUCUCCACCAAACAGACUUCAGGGUGGAACACCCCUUUCCUCUUUGACCUCCCUCCAGGAGAACUCAGUCUCAUGCAUAUAAACAUGGAGCUCAUCGUUAUGCAGGCAAGUAUCCCCACAUUGAGAUUACAAUGCAAUGCAUUCAAAUGUAUAUACACACACACACACACACACACACACACACACACACACACACACACACACACACACACACACACACACACACACACACACACACACACACACACACACACAACUUUCAACCAUAAACAUUUCUUAAUCUCAUUGUUUCCUACACGGCAGAACCAGAGCACGGUGCUCGGUCGAGUCCUGAUCGGCUCAGAGGCACCGGAGGCGGGACGCGCACACUGGAGGGAGAUGUGCAAUCAGGGACAGGUGGAGCGUGCUCAGUGGCACACCUUGCAGCCAGAACCUCUGUAG
This 1782-nucleotide long non-coding RNA is filed under the name Gadus morhua (Atlantic cod). RNAcentral's name for it is "lncRNA (ENSGMOG00000026812.1)". Lineage: Eukaryota; Metazoa; Chordata; Actinopteri; Gadiformes; Gadidae. The record is from RNAcentral.